GAAAUAUUUUAAAAAAGCUGCUAACUUUUACUUAGCAAAUUAUAUUGUUAAUAUUUCU
Molecule: transfer RNA, 58 nt
Filed under: Ornebius kanetataki
Lineage: Eukaryota; Metazoa; Arthropoda; Insecta; Orthoptera; Mogoplistidae
Description: tRNA-Ser
Source: RNAcentral